RNAcentral lists this ribosomal RNA (319 nucleotides) under Meyerozyma caribbica. RNAcentral's name for it is "eukaryotic LSU rRNA". The stretch from base 1 to 75 matches the Rfam family "5.8S ribosomal RNA", at positions 79 to 154 of the family's 154-position model. Lineage: Eukaryota; Fungi; Ascomycota; Pichiomycetes; Serinales; Debaryomycetaceae. The record is from RNAcentral.
AUUUCGUGAAUCAUCGAAUCUUUGAACGCACAUUGCGCCCUCUGGUAUCCAGAGGGCAUGCCUGUUUGAGCGUCAUUUCUCUCUCAAACCCCCGGGUUUGGUAUUGAGUGAUACUCUUAGUCGAACUAGGCGUUUGCUUGAAAAGUAUUGGCAUGGGUAGUACUGGAUAGUGCUGUCGACCUCUCAAUGUAUUAGGUUUAUCCAACUCGUUGAAUGGUGUGGCGGGAUAUUUCUGGUAUUGUUGGCCCGGCCUUACAACAACCAAACAAGUUUGACCUCAAAUCAGGUAGGAAUACCCGCUGAACUUAAGCAUAUCAAU